This is a non-coding RNA of Procambarus clarkii (red swamp crayfish), 350 nucleotides long. The record is from RefSeq and is a predicted model, not a curated record. Lineage: Eukaryota; Metazoa; Arthropoda; Malacostraca; Decapoda; Cambaridae.
AGCGCGGACCCAGGGAACUGUGAGAGGUGCCAGCGCUCUCCUUGGGGAACAUCUCUCAGUACAUCCUUAAGCGCCCGGGGAACCCCACACCAGCCACACGUGUCCCGCCAGCAACACCUACUGAACCAUUCACCUGCCACAGGUCUUGGUCAGUAUCACCUCCUCUCAAGCAGUCGUCAACACCUUCACCUCUCCAGCAGAAGCCACGAUGAAGCUGUUGCUGCUCUCAGCUCUGUUGCUGACGAUUGUUGUUGUGGGAACAACCUCACAGCGCACACUCCACCCUGGCUUAGCUGGACUGAAGAUUUCCUCCUAGUCCAGCAGUAACACGAGAGCAGUCAUCAGGUGAG